Molecule: ribosomal RNA, 246 nt
Filed under: uncultured bacterium
Lineage: Bacteria
Description: partial small subunit ribosomal RNA
Rfam family: Bacterial small subunit ribosomal RNA
Source: RNAcentral
AGAAUCAACGCUGGCGGCGUGCCUAACACAUGCAAGUCGAACGAGAAAGUGGGAGCAAUCCCACGAGUAAAGUGGCGCACGGGUGAGUAACACGUGACUAACCUACCCUUGAGUGGGGGAUAACCUAGGGAAACCUGGGCUAAUACCGCAUAAUACCUACGGGUCAAAGCAGCAAUGCGCUGGAAGAGGGGGUCGCGGCCGAUUAGCUAGUUGGCGGGUAAUGGCCCACCAAGGCAGUGAUCGGUA